AUGUGUGCCCAAGCAUUGAGGCAGUCAAAGUAGGCAAAUCCGCUUUGAUAAUGCUGGGAUGUGAUGGGGAGCGAAAUUUAGUAGCGAAGUAGCUGAUUUCACACUGUCAAGAAAAGUCUCUAUCGAGGUUAAAGGUACCCGUACCGCAAACCGACACAGGUGGGUGAGGAGAGUAUCCUAAGGCCAGCGAGAGAACUGUUGUUAAGGAACUCGGCAAAAUGACCCCGUAACUUAGGGAUAAGGGGUGCCACCAUCAGGUGGCCGCAGAGAAUAGGCCCAAGCGACUGUUUACCAAAAACAUAGGUUUCUGCUAAGUCGCAAGACGAUGUAUAGGAGCUGACGCCUGCCCGGUGCUGGAAGGUUAAGGGGAUCUGUUAGAGCAAUCGAAGCAGUGAACUUAAGCCCCAGUAAACGGCGGCCGUAACUAUAACGGUCCUAAGGUAGCGAAAUUCCUUGUCGGGUAAGUUCCGACCCGCACGAAAGGCGUAACGAUUUGGGCACUGUCUCAACAACAGACUCGGUGAAAUUGUAAUUCCGGUGAAGAUGCCGGAUACCUGCGACAGGACGGAAAGACCCCAUGGAGCUUUACUGUAGCUUGACAUUGGGUCUUGGUACUACAUGUACAGGAUAGGUGGGAGGCUUUGAAACCAGGACGCCAGUUUUGGCGGAGCCAUCCUUGGGAUACCACCCUUGUA
RNAcentral lists this ribosomal RNA (695 nucleotides) under Clostridioides difficile. RNAcentral describes it as "partial 23S ribosomal RNA". It matches the Rfam family "Bacterial large subunit ribosomal RNA", at positions 1504 to 2210 of the family's 2925-position model. The record is from RNAcentral. Lineage: Bacteria; Bacillati; Bacillota; Clostridia; Peptostreptococcales; Peptostreptococcaceae.